ACAGAUGAGUGGUAUAUACCAUGAUCACAAAGGUGGUUUUCCCACCUUUCCCCAGGGUGAGGCUCAUCCAUUGCACUGCGGGUGUGCUGACCCCUGUGAUUUCCCCAAAUGUGGGAAACUCGACUGCAUAGUUUGUGGUAGUGGAGGACUGUGUUCACGCUCUCCCCUG
Small nuclear RNA from Balaenoptera acutorostrata (minke whale), 169 nucleotides. RefSeq annotates it as U1 spliceosomal RNA. NCBI's taxonomy places the organism in Eukaryota, Metazoa, Chordata, Mammalia, Artiodactyla, Balaenopteridae. The record is from RefSeq and is a predicted model, not a curated record. The transcript has a single exon.